Long non-coding RNA from Empidonax traillii (willow flycatcher), 423 nucleotides. RefSeq lists it as uncharacterized. The transcript has 2 exons. NCBI's taxonomy places the organism in Eukaryota, Metazoa, Chordata, Aves, Passeriformes, Tyrannidae. The record is from RefSeq and is a predicted model, not a curated record.
UUCAAGGAAGAAGGCCACUCGUGUCAUUAAGGGAUGUGCUCAGUUAAUUUCUCUCUGGACUUAAAGGCCCGGCCAUGGGACAAGGCAGUAUUUACACAAAGCACAGGAGACACACUAGAGCAGGAAAUACAAGGAAAUGCUCCUGUCUAGCCUUGGCUCUGCAGUGCCUGGUCAAGUAGUGAACCUGGAGCAUCACCAAAGGCAGUGAAACAGAACUGGAGGAACUGAUAGAGCCUUUCUCAGCUGGGGUGUGAGGUGUGGCACGGAUAAAACGGGGCUUGGGAGACACUGUGACAGUGCUUGGGAUUGAAGGCAGAGAUAAGUGCACAUUCCUUCGGGAUGCCCGAGCUCUGGAAUGUAUUAGACCUGUAAAUAUUGGUAUCUGCAGUUAAAAAUGUGAAAGCAAAGCGGGUUUUAUCCUUC